UUACCAAGUUUUCAUCCUUUUUUAUUGGUACUUGAAAGUUUACCUCACACCAUUCUAGUCCAAUCUCUGUACCACCAACUAGAUCAUUUGGGUCCAAGCUCUGAUAAUGCUUUUGACAUUU
Helianthus annuus (common sunflower) is the source of this 121-nucleotide long non-coding RNA. RefSeq lists it as uncharacterized. The transcript has 4 exons. The record is from RefSeq and is a predicted model, not a curated record. NCBI's taxonomy places the organism in Eukaryota, Viridiplantae, Streptophyta, Magnoliopsida, Asterales, Asteraceae.